GGGUCAGUAGGUUGGUCGUGCCACCGGUACGUACUGGUCUCACUGAUUCCUCCUUCCUGAAGAACCGUAAUGCCAUUAAUUUGGUGUUGCGGGGAAGCAGGACUGUUCCAUUGAAAAAAUUAGAGUGUUUAAAGCAAGCUAACGCUUGAACACAUUAGCAUGGAAUAAUGAAAUAGGACGAUCGAUCCUAUUUUGUUGGUUUCUAGGAUUGACGUA
This 216-nucleotide ribosomal RNA is filed under the name Glomeromycotina sp. RNAcentral's name for it is "partial small subunit ribosomal RNA". The stretch from base 44 to 216 matches the Rfam family "Eukaryotic small subunit ribosomal RNA", at positions 690 to 864 of the family's 1831-position model. The record is from RNAcentral. Lineage: Eukaryota; Fungi; Glomeromycota.